RNAcentral lists this ribosomal RNA (468 nucleotides) under uncultured bacterium. Its description in RNAcentral is "partial 16S ribosomal RNA". It matches the Rfam family "Bacterial small subunit ribosomal RNA", at positions 28 to 507 of the family's 1533-position model. The record is from RNAcentral.
GACGAACGCUGGCGGCGUGCUUAACACAUGCAAGUCGAACGGAAAGGCCCUGCUUUUGUGGGGUGCUCGAGUGGCGAACGGGUGAGUAACACGUGAGUAACCUGCCCUUGACUUUGGGAUAACUUCAGGAAACUGGGGCUAAUAUCGGAUAGGAGCUCCUGCUGCAUGGUGGGGGUUGGAAAGUUUCGGCGGUUGGGGUUGGUCUCGCGGCUUAUCAGCUUGUUGGGGGGGUAGUGGCUUACCAAGGCUUUGACGGGUAGGCGGCCUGAGAGGGUGACCGGCCACAUUGGUACUGAGAGACGGCCCAGACUCCUACGGGAGGCAGCAGUGGGGAAUAUUGCACAAUGGGCGGAAGCCUGAUGCAGCAACGCCGCGUGCGGGAUGACGGCCUUCGGGUUGUAAACCGCUUUCGCCUGUGACGAAGCGUGAGUGACGGUAAUGGGUAAAGAAGCACCGGCUAACUACGUG